AGGGUUUGAUCCUGGCUCAGAACGAACGCUGGCGGCGUGGCUAAGGCAUGCAAGUCGAACGCAGUAUCACCCGAGGUAACUUGGGUGGCAUUCAGUGGCGAACGGGUGAGUAAUGUAUGGAUAACGUACCCUGGUGUUGAGGAUAGCGGUUCGAAAGGGCCGGUAAUACUCAAUAAAAUCCUUGUGUCGCAUGGCACUGAGGAUCAAACGGUUAAUUCUGCUCCGGGAUCGGUCCAUAUCCUAUCAGCUUGUUGGUGGGGUAACGGCCUACCAAGGCUUCGACGGGUAGCUGGUCUGAGAGGAUGAUCAGCCACAUCGGGACUGAGACACUGCCCGGACCUCCACGGAGGGCUGCAGCAACGAAUAUUCCGCAAUGGGCGAAAGCCUGACGGAGCGACGCCGCGUGCGGGAGGAAGCCCCUUGGGGUGUAAACCGCUGUCAGGGGGAAGGAAGUUCCCUUCGGGGAAUUGACCUAACCCAGAGGAAGGCACGGCUAACUCUGUGCCAGCAGCCGCGGUAAGACAGAGGUGCCAAGCGUUGUUCGGAUUCAUUGGGCUUAAAGCGCGAGUAGGCGGACACACAAGUCGGUUGUGAAAUCCCACGGCUCAACCGUGGAACUGCUUCCGAAACUGUGUGUCUUGAGGCAGGUAGGGGCUAGUGGAAUUUCCGGUGGAGCGGUGAAAUGCGUAGAUAUCGGAAAGAACGCCUGUGGUGAAAACGGCUGGCUGGGCCUGACCUGACGCUGAGUCGCGAAAGCUAGGGGGGCGAACGGGAUUAGAUACCCCGGUAGUCCUAGCCGUAAACGAUGUCCACUAGAUCUCGGAGGUUCUGACGCCGUCGGGGUCGAAGCUAAAGCAUUAAGUGGACCGCCUGGGGAGUACGGUCGCAAGGCUAAAACUCAAAGGAAUUGACGGGAGCUCACACAAGCGGUGGAGCAUGUGGCUUAAUUCGAGUCUACGCGAAGAACCUUACCCGGGUUUGACAUGUACGGAUACCUGCCCUGAAGGGGGAUUUGGUUGCCCUUUGGGUGAAACGUACACAGGUGCUGCAUGGCUGUCGUCAGCUCGUGCUGUGAAGUGUUGGGUUAAGUCCCAUAACGAGCGAAACCCUUACUGCUAGUUGCCAGCGGGUAAUGCCGGGGACUCUAGCGGGACUGCCGGCGUGAAGCCGGAGGAAGGUGGGGACGACGUCAAGUCAUCAUGGCCUUUAUGCCCGGGGCUGCACACGUGCUACAAUGGCGCAUACAAAGCGACGCAAUGCCGUGAGGCGGAGCAAAUCGCAAAAAAUGUGCCCCAGUUCAGAUUGUAGGCUGCAAUUCGCCUGCAUGAAGUCGGAAUCGCUAGUAAUCGCGUAUCAGCUAUGACGCGGUGAAUAUGUUCCUGAGCUUUGUACACACCGCCCGUCACGUCACGGGAGCUGGGGAGACCCGAAGUCCAUUGGCUAACUCUUCGGAGAAGCGGUGGCCGAAGGUAAACUCGGUGACUGGGACGAAGUCGGAACAAGGUA
Molecule: ribosomal RNA, 1506 nt
Filed under: metagenome
Description: bacterial SSU rRNA
Rfam family: Bacterial small subunit ribosomal RNA
Source: RNAcentral